This 11075-nucleotide long non-coding RNA is filed under the name Panax ginseng (ginseng). Its description in RNAcentral is "long non-coding RNA (PGIN_LNC018064)". Lineage: Eukaryota; Viridiplantae; Streptophyta; Magnoliopsida; Apiales; Araliaceae. The record is from RNAcentral.
UUUAUAGUAAAGGGGUGAAAGGGGUUAGUGGUGAGAGAAACUCUAGGGUUUCGAGUUUGGGGCGGCCGCCUCAGAUCUUCUUCAUCUUCAAGUCGUUUGCCGCCUCACUUCUUCUUCAUCUUCUAAGUCGCUUGUCUACGCUGAACGGAGUAAAUCUUGUGAGUUCUUUGUGUGGUUCCAUUUGUUCUUUCCCCUCUCGUAUUAAUUGUUUGUAGUUUGCAAGAUAUUAAUGUCUUCUAGAAAUUUGUCUCUUCUUUGUAUAAGAUUUUUAAGCAUCCUCAUAUUGGUUCAAUUCAAAUGGCAAUUAUUUACCGAUUUUCAUUUAAGGAAUUGUACUUCAUCGCAUAGUAGUUCAACCUUCCUUUAUAUUAUUGAUGUUUUCACAAUUACAUAUAUACUAUUUUAUGGAGAAAUUGGAAUGAGCGUAAUUUUAGAUUCUUUGGAGAAAAUUGCUCAUCUUUUAAGCUGUUGAGUGAUAGGAUUAUUUUCCUUGUAUCUUUUUGGGGUUCUUCUAUGGGGGUCUUUAGAGGUAUCUACUGAUGUGUGAAGAGAUCGAAGGAUUGCACUUUUUUAAAUGUUUUUUUUAGUCCAUUGAGGGUGUAUUUUUCGUUCCCCUUUUAUUGCAUCAUUUCUUCUCUAUUAAUAAAAUUUAUUCUUUUAUCAAAAAAAAAAAAUCACACCUCACAAAUUUGGGUGUUUUUUUAAUAUAUGUUUUUUUACAAUUAUGCAAGGGAAAUAGUGAUUUUAAGUGUUUAAAUUGAUCAAGAAAAUAAUAUUUUGUGUUUUAUCUUCGCAGAAUCUCAGCGAGAUGAUGAUCAUCUCAGAGGUAUCAUCAGUAGUUUCAUUCCAGUUAACACAAGGCAAUUUUGGUAAUGUGUUUGGUAAUGAUAUUAUUUGAUGUAUCAUAAAAUUUAUUUACUCCUAUUUGUUUCAAAAAUACUAAUCGUUACAGACUCUUCUCAAUCCAUUAAUGUUAUACUUUGGUAUUUUUUUGGGUACAAUUGGUAUAGCAUGCAAUUAUUUGAUGAUUUUUUUCAAAAUGUAAUAUGACUUCACUAGUAUUUGUAAUUACUAAAGUUUGAUGCAUAUUUUUUUUCUAGGAAGGAGCUCUGGCCAGGGGUGGAUCUAGAUUUUUUUUUUUCAGUUAUGGCAAUAUAAUUUUAUCUAAAAAAUUAUCGCGAAUACAUUAAAAAUAAAACUAUAUAUAUUAGGUAAAAGGUUUCUACGGUUGACCUAAUAUAAUUUCAAAUAGAACGUAAUUUUGAUUUUCACUGAACAAUUCAAUUGUAAGAAUGCAAAAAGCAUGCAAAAAUAUAAGAACAUGCAAUUUUUUAUAUAAUUCAAAUGACUUUAUAUUAUUUAUUAAUAUUAAAUAAAUCAUGUUGCAUAAAAUAAUUUAUCAAUAUUGCAUAAAUUUUCACUUAUUUUCAAUUACAUAUAAUAUAGAGAUAUAUAUUACAAGGAAAUAAAUAUUAUUGCAAAGUGUAGAUAAAAGAAAAUAAACAUGAUUCCUAGCUUAAUAGAAUUUAUUUUUUAGGUGUUUCUUUUUCUUUUUUUGAAACAGUCCAACAAAUAUAUUCUAGGUGAUUGAUUUCAAUAUUUAAGAUUUCUUAAAUCAUGCAGGGAAUGAGUUUUAAAGUUAAUUCAAUCAAUAUUUAACAUACCAUACAUAUGGAAAAAAAAUAUUUUAACUAUUUAUUUUUGGAAUAAUAUGUAUACUAUAUAAUUUAUUUCCCCCCCUAAAAUCUAGUUAUGGCAAUUGCCACAGCCGGCUCCAAAGCAGAUCCGCCCCUGGCUAUAGCUCAAAUUGUACUUCAGUGGAGGCAUUCUUUGCUAGCCUUAGUGGAGGCACUAUUCUAUGAGUGUGGUCUUAUUUAUGGCCGUAGUUAUAGCCCAAGUCGAAGCACUAUUAUAUAUCUACUAUGGCCUUUCCUUGUAGGGUUUGAGGUUUUGGUUCUGUGUCCCCUUCUACCCAUUGUCAUAAUAUAAAAAGAAAUGUAUAUAUAUGUUGUGGAGGUAAUUUGAUUAUAUUUGCAUAGUAUUCAUUUUUUAAUGUCAUCUUAGCAAUUUGAUACGACGAGAACUUUUAAUAUUAAAAUUAAUGACCAUCUUAUCAUUUGACUUAUUGCUGUUAGACAAUUACUGUACUGUUCUGCUAUCUGAUUGUGUCCUUGUCCCCAUAUUAAAAUAUUGGGUAAAAAUGUAAUUCACCACCUGUGGUUUACACACUUCUGCAAAUCACCACCUAAAAACCACCACUUAAUCACCUGUGGUUUGAAAAAAAGUGCAACAGUUAAUUUUUCCAUCCAGUUUAUGGAGAGUGAACUUUUAGCAAGUGGAUGAGCUGUCCAACAACUAGAUUCCCUAUGCAAAUGGCAAAAAUGUCCUCCUUAACCCAUAUUUAAGAUGCAAGUAGUUCACUUAUUUUUUUUCUUCUUCUCAUAUUCACCAAUUUUCUAUUAAAUUAUGUACAAAAAUACAUCCUAUAAAGUUUUUGGAGUGUCUAAUUGAUUAGUAUGUAUUUGGAUAAAAAAAUUAUAACCAAGAUAUAUAUAUAUAUAUAUAUAUAUAUAUAUAUAUANNNNNNNNNNNNNNNNNNNNNNNNNNNNNNNNNNNNNNNNNNNNNNNNNNNNNNNNNNNNNNNNNNNNNNNNNNNNNNNNNNNNNNNNNNNNNNNNNNNNAUUAAAAAAUAUGAUGUUAAAAAAUUAAUAAAUAAAAAAUCUAUUAAAAGUAAAAAUAUGGUAAAUAUAAGAUGUAAACUAUAAAAAAAAUAACUAAUUUUGUUAUUCAUAAGAUUGAACAAUUACAAAAAUACAUCAAAAUGUUAAUUUAUCUUCACGGACCUCUUGUUAUUCAAUUAUAUUAACAUUUUAAGUAGCUUCAUUUUUUAAUAAAUUUAAUUGAUUUUACUAGCAAAAGGUUAAUAGGGUUUACCAGUGAGAUACAAUGUUUAAGUUGGAAUGCUUACACACACAAUAUGUGCAUUAAGACUAAUAACAAUAAAGCUUAUGCAUCUUCUCACUUCAGUGGAAAUUAGACUAUUUAAACCAUUUCUUCUUCCUUGCUCCAUAAGGUUGGGCUUUGUUCUACAUUGAUGGCUGUACUAUCAGCUGGGAAUGGAGUGGCCUAAAGAAAGACUCCUUUUCUCCCCGAUACCCUUCCUUCGGCAUCCCUGAAAAGGGCAUCUCUUUCAGCACCUGAACCUCUUGGUGGGGGAGCUGCCGGAACAAAAGAAUUUUCUAUUCAAAAAAAAGAAAUAUCGGACAAGAUCGUAGAAAAGGUAGUGGCUGAUCUUUCCCGAACCCAACUCCAUCACCUCUUUGGACAGUGGCCUUUGCUUAUUCCCCUCAUCUUAGGUUUUCGAAUGAAUGGGAAAUUACGUCGUUCUUUGAUUUGCAGAAUAAGUCGAGACACAAGGCAAGGGUAAGGUUCUAUUAGUUUUAAAGUAUAUAGAGACAAAAAUGUUUUGUCCAAACAUUACUGUUUCUUCUCCUCCCAAUAAUUUAGAAAAUCAAUCAACUGUCUUACAAGCCUCAAUCUACUAUAUAUAUAUAUAUAUAAUAUGACUAAUAUUACUAAAAUAUUCUAUAUGUCCACGUGACUUUUUCGUCAUUUAGUUUAAACAAUUCAAUAAUGUGUUUUAUAAGGUACAAUUAGAAAUGUAAAACUCAACAAAAUGAGAUUUUGAUAUAAUUAUACUUUUUUUAAAAAUAUUUUUAAAAAUAUAAUUAUACUUUUUAACAAGUCGUGAUAUAAUUAUACUUUUUUUAAAAAUAUUUUUCCAACUAAAAAUAAAGAAAAGAUAUGAGUAGAAAAAAAUUGAUGUAAAAUAAAUAAUGUGAUAUCCGGAAUAUUCUUAAGGAUUGUAAUUACGAUCUUAAAAGAUUUAAUAAAGGUUGAUUUAGUGACCUAAUCCAUGUGUUAUGCGAGGGAAUCAAGCGGCGUUAAUUCGUGGAAGAAAAAUAUUUUUUUCAAAAAAGCGAAGAAAACACUUUUCGCAUUUACGACAUUUCGUAUUACGCCAUAGUAUUUAUACGGGGUAUAAAUACACAAUUUCUAUUUAAAAGUACGAAAAGUCAAAGUCAACAUUUUGACUAAUCGGAUGAGUUACGAAAGCUAACAACAAAUCGAACUAGAAGCAAACUAAGUUGGAUUUGGACCAAGGGGAAGGGGGCCCAGAUUUGGCAAGGUUGGGAGGGCCUUUUGGCCAUAUAGGAAGAUUGCAAUACUUGCCUAGCUUGUAAGUAUUGUAUCUUGUUUAGCUUGAGUGUUGUUAAGCUUUGCUUGGUGAGUUGUGGCUCUUUGCUAGCUAUGGGAUUGCAUGGCCUUGUUGGACAACUUUGUAUGGGUUAGCUAGUUAGGUUAAGCUUGGUAGAUGAUUGGUGAGAUGUGGCCUUGUGUGAGCCUAAGGUUGAUUAGGGAGAUGUGGCCUUAUGUGAGCCUAAGGUUGCUUGGUGAGAUGUUUUCUAUAAAUAUAACCCUCAAUUCUUCCUUAAUCUUGUUCAAUAAAAUAAGAAGCUUGAGAGAGAAUACCAUAGUAAGAACAAUUAUAAUUGAGAGAGGGAAAUCAAGAGGCUUGGUUAUUCAAGAAUUCAUAAAGCUAACACUUCAAGAGCUAAACCUAGAAUUCAUUUAUUUCGUAUGUUAGUUCGUUCAUAAUUUUUUAUGAUAGAACUUAUGAACGUAUGCAUGUUAGGGUUAUGAUUAUAUGUGUUAGAGUUAGUAAGUCAUAAAGCAUAAUAAACUAAGUAAUGCUUUAGACAACUAAUUGAAUUAAGUUGUAGCAAGUUAAACAUGAAGCUAUAAAAACUUGUUUUUAGUAGUUUUUACAAGAGGUGUGCAGCCUCAUAUGCUUAGAUUUAGUCAUGAAAUUAAUAGCCAAGUCGUAGAGAGAAGUUAUGAACGCGUAGGAAAAAGAAUCACCCAAAAAUACCUAGUAGUUUGAAAGUUAUGCAUGUUUGAAAUAGGUAGGUUGAAACUACCAAAACUGGAAAAAAUGAAAUUUCGAAACUGCUAAGGAAGCGCUGCGGCACUGGGUAGACAGUGGGCGCAGGCGAGCGCUGGCUGCACGUUGGGCUGGCUGUGAAGCGCCGAGUGGCGUUGUGCAUGUCGGGGCGUGCUGCGUAGUACUUGGGCGAUUCCUUAGGGUGUCUAGGCACUAUAUUUUUGUUCGAGUUUUCCAAAGCCUAUUUUGUUAAGUUUAGGUAAUCGGACAUUGUAAAUGAUAAGUAUUGAAAUAAAAUUCAUACUUAAAGCUAAUUAAAGUGAACUAAGAAUGUAGAGUUAUGUUGUGACUGAUUAUAUGUCGACCUCAUCAAAUUAUGUAGGCCGAGCAAAUGACGCAAAAUUAGUGUAAACGUAAGAGACGGAAUCAGGCAGUCUUCUACUCUUUUGCACUUUGUGCAACAAUGUGUUUUAAUCAUUUGAUCUGUGAAGUUCAUUGUAUUAGGUGAAAUGAUUUAUGGAAAGGAGUUAUUUGUCAUUGAUUCGACUUAACUCAAUUUGUGAGCUAUUCUAGUCGGAAUGUUUAUUGUUGAGAUAUUGAAUUGUUAUAAUUCUUUAUUUGUGAUAAGUUGAUUGUGCCAAACCAAAUUGUUUUGGGGCAGAAUCUGAAUGUUAGUAACUGAGUUGAACAACCCUUGUAUUAAGGGGAUGUAUGACAUGCCGGCUAACCGGAUUCUAUACUGUGAAUACAAAUUUAGCACUAUUACAAAUUUAGCACGAUUAGUGUUUAAUUAUCGGGCAGUGUUCUAAAAGUCGCUAGUCGGUCCCAUGUCGGUUGGCUACCGACUAGCGACUAGGGGAUUAAUCAGCUAGUCGGAUUUUCAAUUUUUAAAAAAAUAUAUAUUCUCCUUCCUCAUUCAUAAGUUUUGAGCAAGUAGAAUAACAUAAGUAACACAAAUCAUCAAAUAAAAACAUGAAAACUAAGUAAAACCAAAUAGUUUGAUGCUCUAACGGUCAGAUUUCUAAUAAUUUAAUUUAUAACUGAAGUCAGAUUUUAAUAAUUUAAUUUAUAACUGAAGUUGAAAAAAUUUAAAAUUUAAAAUGAAAUAUAAUAAUUAACUAAAUUAAUUUAUCCAACCUUUUCUUUAAUGCCCACUAAGGAACUAAUUAAGCCUUGUAUCAGUCUUCAGUUGACAAACUGUCGACAAACUAGAGAUGAAGAAGAGCAGCUGACGAAAAAAAAUAGAGAAACUGAGAGAGAGAGAGAGACGAGCCGGAGAAGAAGGCCGAUGAUGAUGAAGAUGAAGAGCAGCAGUCGAGCACUCGUCGUCGUCGGUAGUCUUCGUCUUCGUCAGCGGCAGUCGUCGUCUGCUACACAGUCGACGUCGGUCGGCAGUCGUCGUCGGCAGUCAGUAGCAGUCGUCGUCGAAGCAGUCCAGUCGGUAGCAGUCGUCGUCGGCAACAACAGUCGAAGAAGGAGAAGCAACCGCAGUAGCAGUCGGCGCUAGAAGAAGAAGAAGCAGCAGUCGUCGCCGACUUGAUAUGUUCCAUUUGUUCCGAUUUGCUCCGACUUUACCGACUAGUCGUCGACUUGAGUCCGACUAAGUCGGCCAGCGACUAAAUCAAAGGACUAGGACUUGAUUGACUCGGCGAGCCUCCGACUUCGACCUAGUCCGACUUUUAGAACACUGGUAUCGGGAAACCGAUACACACUGAUGUCACUUUUGUAGCAGUAUUGAUGAACCGUGGACGAGAUUUAUUAUUAGUUCUUGGUUUAACCACUCAGUUUACUAUUAUGAACCACUGUUAUAUCUUUUGUUGUUAAACUUCUAUUCUUUGUACUAGAAUAGAUAUGAAUUCUUUAGACUUGCUGAGCUAUCUUAUGCUCAUUCUUGCAAAUAUUCUUAAUUUGCAGUUAAGGAAGGAAUACCAGAACAAUCUGGCAUUAAAAACGAGAAAGUGAAAGAAUAGUAGUUACGUCAAGAUAGAUAUAAUUAUUGUUGUCUUUUGAUGUAAUAGAACGUAAGUUGUAAUGACGUUGAAAUAUGUAUAAAAGAGAAUUAUUAAGGAAAACAUAGUGUUAUGUCCUUUUUGGAAAUGUAUUAUAUUAGGUACUUUACAUUUGAAGUUGAUGGAUGUAUCGAUUGAAAUAAUUGGAGUUAGUUCUUAUUGAAUGUUAAGGUUGUAUGAGCGUUCUUGAAUUCAUACUUAUGGUAGGUUUAUGACUCAUAGUAGUGUGGUAAGUUUUUGAACCCACAGUCAUAUGAUAAGUUUCUGAUUUGUUUUUGAACUCAUAUUACUAUGGGAGUUCUUAAACUCAUAUUAUUGUGGUAAGUUCCUGAACUCAUAACGUAUGGUAAGUUCUAUGAACGAUGAUUAUAGUAUAUUAUCAGACAAUUAACAUUAUUGACAAUGUUUAGAAAAUUCUAACGAGUAAAGAGGUUAUCUAAUUGAGUGUCGUUUUUAACGAAAGGCCCCAUCUUUUCUAAAAAUGACUUGGUUGUCAUUAUUGUGAGUUUAUAAUAUCUAUACUCAGAAGGAUUUAGUGUUGGAAGUAAGGUGCUAUCCAUAGAAUGGAUGUGAGUCACAUGUUGGGAUAAGGUAAAGACCAAGUUGCGAUCCAGAGUUGAAGAUAGAGAAAUUGAUGUUAGUGUGUAAUGGACUAAGUUAAACCAGAAAGAUAAUGGUUAGUCAACACCAUCUCCACCGUAAAGAGCAGACGGAUUUGGGGGCGUGAGAAAUACAUACAUAUAUAUAUAUAUUGUCUUUAAUUAAGAUGGGGAUCAUAUUUUAGUAAAAAAAUAACUAUAGUAAUGAAUCAUUAAAGAUUAAAUAUUAUUUAUGUUGAUUUGUGUUACAAAUGAAUCAAGAUUGACUAAGAUGAUUGAAGAUUUUCUUAGUUUGAUUUUAGAAGCUAGUUGGUGAAAAUUGAGAAAAAAAAACAAGAUAAAUAACAAAUGAGGUGGUUAUAUGCAAAGUAAGAGUUAAGAAGGGCAUUUUAGUACUUGUUCUUUUAAUGGUGUUAACACUAAAGUGAGACUUUGCAAAUUUUUUAAGCCACAGGUGGCUAAGUGGUGGUUUUUUAACCACAGGUGAUGAUUUACACAAAAUGUGUAAAUCACAGGUGGGCAAAUUACAUUUUACCCUAAAAUAUUUGUUUCACAGAGUUGUACUCAUAUAGUCCUUUUUCUAUUUUUACAAUUCGCAUAAGAGUCCUUUAAGAUCAUUUAACCUUAUUUUACCUGAGAUUUCACUUGGACCAUAUUGUUUCAGAUACAUUUCCAUUGUCUAUCUUUACUACUCGCGUGCUCUCUCCAAGCCCAUGUCCAGGUAGUUCUGAGCCAAAAAAGAUUAAAUGAUUGGUUCAGAUGAUUGAGGAUUUUGGUGGAAGUUUAUGAAAAAGAAUCUAUCGAGAUUCAGAAGAAGAUUGAUCGAGUUAGGAGCUUGAGGAAAUGACUAGAUAAUAUUUCAUGUUACUAUAUGUCACUAAGUCAGUCUAGGAGCUGAAACCAUCUACCAAAUAAAGGAGCUGCAUUAUCUGGGAUAGUUCUUCUUUUUCAACCUUGUUACAUAAUGUUAUGGAUAAUUUGUGGUGAAAAUAUUGAAUUAAAUGGAUGUAAGGACAGUUGUAUGCAAACUGCAGUAGGUCUAGGUGAUAAGAUCCCAUCUGGGAUUGUGAUCUAAUUUCUUUCUCUUUUCUUUUUUUUGGUGUGGCCUGGGGAAAGCGGGGGAGCAGGGGGUGGUGAGGAAAGCAUUGGGCUGGAGUGAGGUAAUUUGGCAUUUUACAACAGGGAGUCUCGAAAACCUUUUUCAGAUAAAUAUGUAAUUUCGUACGUUACUUUCUUAUUUAGAGUUCUUUCAGAAAGAGUUUCUUUCUUUCCUUUCUUUUAAAAUCUAUUAAAAGAAUAGAAAUGGCAUAAUUUUGGUAGGUCUAUUUUUUGUGUUUAGACAAGGUGUACUAGCACUCAACUUGUAAAAUCUAUUUGAAAUUAUCAUAUUUUUCAUAAUCUGAAGCUACUCAUAUACUAAAAAAAUGAAGAGCAGUAAACAAGUUCAGAAAAACCUCAAAUAAUGAUGUCUUUUAACCUAAAAAAUCAAUUACCUGGAUCAUGGAACAACUGAAAUAUUUCUGCAUGUCAGUGAUGCGAACAUCAUUUUGAUGGAGAUGUCUAUAAAGUUGUAUUAUAUCAUGUUCACCAUGCAAGCCCGAUGAUAUGCAGUAUUGACAUGCUGAUGUGUCACAAGUGAUGCAAUAAUGGUUGCAUCGGUUCUUGCUGCGCUCAUGAGCUAUACAACGAUCGAAGAAAGUCCGUUGUAGGAAAUUUUCGAGCCAUUCUGGUUUUUCAAUCUGAGGUCGUACUAUUUGUGCAACCUACAAGAAAUAAUACAUUCCCUUUAUUAACAUUUAUUAUUAUUGAGGUACUGUAAAUCUCAAAGACUUAGGUGAAGAUAUUUAAUUUUUUUGCAUCCAUGAACUUCUUUCUCUUAAUCAUCAUAUGGUUUUCUCAGUUUGAGAAACUAUGGAAUUGUAAAUCAAGACUAGGAAAUGAGUGUGAGUAUUUGCAAGGAAAAGCUAGUGUCUAAACAAGAGUAAGUUUAAUGAUGUAUAACGAACCUGUUCUAUGGAAGGAAAUUUGCAUUAAGACUUAAGCAUAGGUGUGAAAGAAUCAUAUAUUCAGUUACUUACCUAAUUAAUAUUUAUAUUUAAAAGGAUUGACCUUGUGAGCAAGAUGAAGUUGACCUGAGCAGUCCGUAUGCUCAACUGAAGUAAUUGAUUUUCCAAUAAUCUAUUGCAAGUCCUAGAGAACAUUUAAGAAUUCUUCAUCUUCCCUCGAUUUAAUUUCACUUAUAUUUGCAAAAGGUAAUGUAUCAGUCCUAAUUCAACCUUCUUUCUCUCAGGUGAGGUAUGUGAAAUGUUACAAGUUUACAAUGACAACUUGGUUAAUGAAGAAGAGUUGUUCCUCAUGGACCGCUGAACAAGUUUACAUAGAUGAUGGAGCUUCCUCAGCCUGUACAGAGGGACAAACACAUUUCAAAUAUUAUCCUCAAUGGAAGGUACGCAUACACCUUUCUCUGGAACAUUCCUUUUGUUCAUAACCAGAGAAUGAUCUGCGAUUGUGACAAACUGAUGCACUUUGAAGUUGGAUAUUAAUCCGUUCUAGGGUAUUAGUUUUAGCUUUGGUCAUACACGCCUUAUUUUUAUUUUGUCUAAUGAAUUGUUCAGAAAAAGAAAUUAUAAUAACAUGUUUUGAGCGUUUGAGUAUGUAAAAAUUGUUAAAGGCGUGAGUGGUUGCAUUAUGGAUGUGGAUUUGAAGAUUACUGAUCCGAUUAUAUAUAUGUGUGUGUGCGUAAGUUGCUGGAGUAUGAUAUUUGCUAAAUGAUUUUAAAAAGCUGAUGUAAAGUUAUAAACAUAAAAUAACUUCAAAGAUAAGAAGAGACUUGCUAUUUGACUAACAAGGUAGAUCAAUAAUACAUCUGAAAUAGAUUAAUGGUUUCAGAUGUAUGUAAUCAAAUCUCUUCUGGCCAUUUGAAGAGAUUAUAGAUGAAAGCCAGGUGUUGGAAUGAAUAGAAACAGUGAUUUAGAUUAUCUGGAAUUUGGAUUAAGAAACUAAUGUAAUGUGCAAUAAUAGUAUCAACUCAGGAUCAUGAGAUAGUGGGAAAGGGGAGACUGCUGUUCUAUAACAAAACUUGUGCUUUAAUGAAGAAGUCAAAAUUGUAAUAAGAAUAAUAAUAAGAAAAAACUGGUUUAUAUACAUGGCAAAAAGUUGACAUGGAACAUAAAAAUAAAAUUAAAGAGUACAAGGAAGCUAGACACAAUGAAGGUGUAGAAAUAUGUAAAAGCGCAAAGAAAGACUUCAAAAAAGAACAAAGGGGAAAGAAUUGUAUAUAAACCUUCUACACUUGUUGAAAUAUCUGUUAUAGGAAAGGCUAUGGGAUUGAAUCUGCUAAUUCUACAGCAGUUAGUGAGUAGGGGAGUGUAUUGGAGGACCUCUGGGCUCUUUCAAUCGGUGUAAAUGAAGGAAAUUUUGGGCACUAUGUGGAUUGUAAACAAUGCUGUUUUUCUAAUGCAAUUUAAGCGCCCAAUAUUAUUGCUGGGUAGAUAUGUGUGUUUUCUUUAGUGUAUGUGUNNN